GAGGAUAUAGCUCAGGUAGAGCGCAUGCCUAGCAUGCACGAGGUCCUGGGUUUGAUCCCCAGUACCACCU
Molecule: transfer RNA, 70 nt
Filed under: Camelus ferus (Wild Bactrian camel)
Lineage: Eukaryota; Metazoa; Chordata; Mammalia; Artiodactyla; Camelidae
Rfam family: tRNA
About the family: Transfer RNA (tRNA) molecules are approximately 80 nucleotides in length. Their secondary structure includes four short double-helical elements and three loops (D, anti-codon, and T loops). Further hydrogen bonds mediate the characteristic L-shaped molecular structure. tRNAs have two regions of fundamental functional importance: the anti-codon, which is responsible for specific mRNA codon recognition, and the 3' end, to which the tRNAs corresponding amino acid is attached (by aminoacyl-tRNA synthetases). tRNAs cope with the degeneracy of the genetic code in two manners: having more than one tRNA (with a specific anti-codon) for a particular amino acid; and 'wobble' base-pairing, i.e. permitting non-standard base-pairing at the 3rd anti-codon position.
Source: Rfam by way of RNAcentral